AGGAAAAGAAACUAACAAGGAUUCCCUCAGUAAGGGCGACUGAACGGGGAAAAGCUCAGCAUGUGAAUCUGCGCCUUGGCGCUGAAUUGUGGUCUGUUGACUCUGGCGUUAUUGGCCGGGCUAAGUCCCUUGGAACAGGGCAGCAUAGAGGGUGAGACUCCCGUCUGCCUGGCCUUUUGAGCUGGAUGUCUACGAGUCGAGUUGUUUGGGAUUGCAGCUCAAAGUGGGUGGUAAAUUCCAUCUAAAGCUAAAUAUUGGUGGGAAACCGAUAGCGUACAAGUACCGUGAGGGAAAGAUGCAAAGAACUUUGAAAAGAGAGUUAAAGAGUACCUGAAAUUGCUGAAAGGGAAGCGAAGGAAACCAGUGCUUGCCGAGGCAUAUUUCUCCCUCCGCUUGCGGGGUGGGCGCUGUGUCUUGGCCUGGGUCAGGCUUGGUUCGGUUGGUCAGAAGGGCGUAGUGGGAGUUGCCCACUGCUUGCCUGUGACUGGCAGGACUGAGGCUGACAAAAUGGUUUUCUUUACCCCG
This 525-nucleotide ribosomal RNA is filed under the name Navicula trivialis. RNAcentral's name for it is "eukaryotic LSU rRNA". It matches the Rfam family "Eukaryotic large subunit ribosomal RNA", at positions 54 to 651 of the family's 3401-position model. The record is from RNAcentral. Lineage: Eukaryota; Bacillariophyta; Bacillariophyceae; Naviculales; Naviculaceae.